This 854-nucleotide ribosomal RNA is filed under the name uncultured archaeon. RNAcentral describes it as "bacterial SSU rRNA". It matches the Rfam family "Archaeal small subunit ribosomal RNA", at positions 85 to 922 of the family's 1478-position model. The record is from RNAcentral.
ACGGCUCAGUAACACGUGGCUAAUCUGCCCUUGGGACCGGAACACCCCCGGGAAACUGGGGCUAAUUCUCGAUAGGUGAAGAACUCUGGAAUGAGUCUUCACCAAAAAGACGUUUACGUUAUGCUCGUAGGCGUCGCCCAAGGAUGAGGCCGCGACCGAUCAGGUUGUUGGUGAGGUAAUGGCUCACCAAGCCUUUUACCGGUGCGGGCCGUGAGAGCGGGAGCCCGGAGAUGGGCACUGAGACAAGGGCCCAGGCCCUACGGGGCGCAGCAGUCGCGAAAACUUUGCAAUACACGAAAGUGUGACAGGGCUAUCCCGAGUGCCAUCCGCUGAGGAAGGCUUUUACCCAGUCUAGAAAGCUGGGGGAAUAAGGAGAGGGCAAGUCUGGUGUCAGCCGCCGCGGUAAUACCAGCUCUCCGAGUGGUGUGGAUGUUUAUUGGGCCUAAAGCAUCCGUAGCUGGCUGAGUUAGUCCCUUGUUAAAUCCACCGAAUUAAUCGUUGGAUUGCGGGGGAUACUGCUCGGCUAGGGGACGAGAGAGGCAGACGGUAUUUCUGGGGUAGGGGUGAAAUCCUAUAAUCCCAGGAGGACCACCAGUGGCGAAGGCUGUCUGCUAGAACGCGCCCGACGGUGAGGGAUGAAAGCUGGGGGAGCGAACCGGAUUAGAUACCCGGGUAGUCCCAGCUGUAAACGAUGCAGGCUAGGUGUUUGGACGGCCACGUGCCGUUCUAGUGCCGCAGGGAAGCUGUUAAGCCUGCCGCCUGGGGAGUACGAUCGCAAGAUUGAAACUUAAAGGAAUUGGCGGGGGAGCACCACAAGGGGUGAAGCUUGCGGUUUAAUUGGAUUCAACGCCGGA